GGUUAAGCGACUAAGCGUACACGGUGGAUGCCCUGGCAGUCAGAGGCGAUGAAGGACGUGCUAAUCUGCGAUAAGCGUCGGUAAGGUGAUAUGAACCGUUAUAACCGGCGAUUUCCGAAUGGGGAAACCCAGUGUGUUUCGACACACUAUCAUUAACUGAAUCCAUAGGUUAAUGAGGCGAACCGGGGGAACUGAAACAUCUAAGUACCCCGAGGAAAAGAAAUCAACCGAGAUUCCCCCAGUAGCGGCGAGCGAACGGGGAGCAGCCCAGAGCCUGAAUCAGUGUGUGUGUUAGUGGAAGCGUCUGGAAAGGCGCGCGAUACAGGGUGACAGCCCCGUACACAAAAAUGCACAUGCUGUGAGCUCGAUGAGUAGGGCGGGACACGUGGUAUCCUGUCUGAAUAUGGGGGGACCAUCCUCCAAGGCUAAAUACUCCUGACUGACCGAUAGUGAACCAGUACCGUGAGGGAAAGGCGAAAAGAACCCCGGCGAGGGGAGUGAAAAAGAACCUGAAACCGUGUACGUACAAGCAGUGGGAGCACGCUUAGGCGUGUGACUGCGUACCUUUUGUAUAAUGGGUCAGCGACUUAUAUUCUGUAGCAAGGUUAACCGAAUAGGGGAGCCGAAGGGAAACCGAGUCUUAACUGGGCGUUAAGUUGCAGGGUAUAGACCCGAAACCCGGUGAUCUAGCCAUGGGCAGGUUGAAGGUUGGGUAACACUAACUGGAGGACCGAACCGACUAAUGUUGAAAAAUUAGCGGAUGACUUGUGGCUGGGGGUGAAAGGCCAAUCAAACCGGGAGAUAGCUGGUUCUCCCCGAAAGCUAUUUAGGUAGCGCCUCGUGAAUUCAUCUCCGGGGGUAGAGCACUGUUUCGGCAAGGGGGUCAUCCCGACUUACCAACCCGAUGCAAACUGCGAAUACCGGAGAAUGUUAUCACGGGAGACACACGGCGGGUGCUAACGUCCGUCGUGAAGAGGGAAACAACCCAGACCGCCAGCUAAGGUCCCAAAGUCAUGGUUAAGUGGGAAACGAUGUGGGAAGGCCCAGACAGCCAGGAUGUUGGCUUAGAAGCAGCCAUCAUUUAAAGAAAGCGUAAUAGCUCACUGGUCGAGUCGGCCUGCGCGGAAGAUGUAACGGGGCUAAACCAUGCACCGAAGCUGCGGCAGCGACGCUUAUGCGUUGUUGGGUAGGGGAGCGUUCUGUAAGCCUGUGAAGGUGUGCUGUGAGGCAUGCUGGAGGUAUCAGAAGUGCGAAUGCUGACAUAAGUAACGAUAAAGCGGGUGAAAAGCCCGCUCGCCGGAAGACCAAGGGUUCCUGUCCAACGUUAAUCGGGGCAGGGUGAGUCGACCCCUAAGGCGAGGCCGAAAGGCGUAGUCGAUGGGAAACAGGUUAAUAUUCCUGUACUUGGUGUUACUGCGAAGGGGGGACGGAGAAGGCUAUGUUGGCCGGGCGACGGUUGUCCCGGUUUAAGCGUGUAGGCUGGUUUUCCAGGCAAAUCCGGAAAAUCAAGGCUGAGGCGUGAUGACGAGGCACUACGGUGCUGAAGCAACAAAUGCCCUGCUUCCAGGAAAAGCCUCUAAGCAUCAGGUAACAUCAAAUCGUACCCCAAACCGACACAGGUGGUCAGGUAGAGAAUACCAAGGCGCUUGAGAGAACUCGGGUGAAGGAACUAGGCAAAAUGGUGCCGUAACUUCGGGAGAAGGCACGCUGAUAUGUAGGUGAAGUCCCUCGCGGAUGGAGCUGAAAUCAGUCGAAGAUACCAGCUGGCUGCAACUGUUUAUUAAAAACACAGCACUGUGCAAACACGAAAGUGGACGUAUACGGUGUGACGCCUGCCCGGUGCCGGAAGGUUAAUUGAUGGGGUCAGCGCAAGCGAAGCUCUUGAUCGAAGCCCCGGUAAACGGCGGCCGUAACUAUAACGGUCCUAAGGUAGCGAAAUUCCUUGUCGGGUAAGUUCCGACCUGCACGAAUGGCGUAAUGAUGGCCAGGCUGUCUCCACCCGAGACUCAGUGAAAUUGAACUCGCUGUGAAGAUGCAGUGUACCCGCGGCAAGACGGAAAGACCCCGUGAACCUUUACUAUAGCUUGACACUGAACAUUGAGCCUUGAUGUGUAGGAUAGGUGGGAGGCUUUGAAGUGUGGACGCCAGUCUGCAUGGAGCCGACCUUGAAAUACCACCCUUUAAUGUUUGAUGUUCUAACGUGGACCCGUGAUCCGGGUUGCGGACAGUGUCUGGUGGGUAGUUUGACUGGGGCGGUCUCCUCCUAAAGAGUAACGGAGGAGCACGAAGGUUGGCUAAUCCUGGUCGGACAUCAGGAGGUUAGUGCAAUGGCAUAAGCCAGCUUGACUGCGAGCGUGACGGCGCGAGCAGGUGCGAAAGCAGGUCAUAGUGAUCCGGUGGUUCUGAAUGGAAGGGCCAUCGCUCAACGGAUAAAAGGUACUCCGGGGAUAACAGGCUGAUACCGCCCAAGAGUUCAUAUCGACGGCGGUGUUUGGCACCUCGAUGUCGGCUCAUCACAUCCUGGGGCUGAAGUAGGUCCCAAGGGUAUGGCUGUUCGCCAUUUAAAGUGGUACGCGAGCUGGGUUUAGAACGUCGUGAGACAGUUCGGUCCCUAUCUGCCGUGGGCGCUGGAGAAUUGAGGGGGGCUGCUCCUAGUACGAGAGGACCGGAGUGGACGCAUCACUGGUGUUCGGGUUGUCAUGCCAAUGGCACUGCCCGGUAGCUAAAUGCGGAAGAGAUAAGUGCUGAAAGCAUCUAAGCACGAAACUUGCCCCGAGAUGAGUUCUCCCUGACUCCUUGAGAGUCCUGAAGGAACGUUGAAGACGACGACGUUGAUAGGCCGGGUGUGUAAGCGCAGCGAUGCGUUGAGCUAACCGGUACUAAUGAACCGUGAGGCUUAACCUU
This 2904-nucleotide ribosomal RNA is filed under the name Escherichia coli. RNAcentral's name for it is "23S ribosomal RNA". It matches the Rfam family "Bacterial large subunit ribosomal RNA". Lineage: Bacteria; Pseudomonadati; Pseudomonadota; Gammaproteobacteria; Enterobacterales; Enterobacteriaceae. The record is from RNAcentral.